ACUCCUACGGGAGGCAGCAGUGGGGAAUAUUGCACAAUGGGCGCAAGCCUGAUGCAGCAACGCCGCGUGAGGGAUGAAGGCCUUCGGGUUGUAAACCUCUUUUAGCAGGGAAGAAGCGAAAGUGACGGUACCUGCAGAAAAAGCACCGGCUAACUACGUGCCAGCAGCCGCGGUAAUACGUAGGGUGCAAGCGUUGUCCGGAAUUAUUGGGCGUAAAGAGCUCGUAGGCGGUUUGUCACGUCUGCUGUGAAAAUCCAAGGCUCAACCUUGGACUUGCAGUGGGUACGGGCAGGCUAGAGUGCGGUAGGGGAGAUGGGAAUUCCUGGUGUAGCGGUGGAAUGCGCAGAUAUCAGGAGGAACACCAAUGGCGAAGGCACAUCUCUGGGCCGUAACUGACGCUGAGGAGCGAAAGCGUGGGGAGCGAACAGGAUUAGAUACCCUGGUAGGUCAGU
RNAcentral lists this ribosomal RNA (452 nucleotides) under uncultured bacterium. RNAcentral describes it as "bacterial SSU rRNA". It matches the Rfam family "Bacterial small subunit ribosomal RNA", at positions 335 to 798 of the family's 1533-position model. The record is from RNAcentral.